Molecule: non-coding RNA, 102 nt
Filed under: Alphaproteobacteria bacterium
Lineage: Bacteria; Pseudomonadati; Pseudomonadota; Alphaproteobacteria
Description: TPP sequence
Rfam family: TPP riboswitch aptamer (THI element)
About the family: Vitamin B(1) in its active form thiamin pyrophosphate (TPP) is an essential coenzyme that is synthesised by coupling of pyrimidine and thiazole moieties in bacteria.
Source: RNAcentral
UCAAUUUACCAGGGGUGCCUGAUGCAUUUGCUAAGGCUGAGAAAUACCCUUUUUAACCUGCACUGGAUAAUGCCUGCGGAGGGAGCGUAAUAAAAUGCCAAU